UAAUAUCUGGAAGCACAUAUUGGAGAGACAUAUUAUAUCACAUGGGAGUGCAAGGUGCAACAGGGAGAUACAGGAUGAGCCUCACUUUUGGCAGAUGUCUCCAGUGCCAUCUAUUGGGUGACAGAGGCCAGCAGAGGAUUCUCCAUGUGUGAGGAAAAACAGGACUGGCUUGUGUUUUACUAUGGCCUGCAAAUAAAUGACCAAUUAUCGGCUUGGACCCAGACGCUAAACCCGUGGAGGAACAUUUGAGGGUCCUGGCCCGAACAGGUACCGCAGUGGAACCUCGAGUGGCCGCAGAAUGCACGCCGGCGGUGGGAUGGAGACCGAGGACAUGGAGCGGUCCAUGCGCUGCAGAAUUGGUGCGCUCCGACCCUCGAGGGCCGCUGCAGUUUGCUGGGCGAGCAGCGCACCCCGGCUGAGGAAAGACCGCUGCAUCACUGCUGCUGUGCGGGUUCCUGAGAUGUUUUCACCGUGUGAGAUCACCACCGACAGACGGAGAGACUCAGUCCGACUGUAAGAUUUGGGUGAAGAUUUAAAACAGGCCUUUGACCUGUUGGCCGAGGGGCGGUACAAUAGUACAGUAAACCAGGGCUUCUCCAUCUGUGGCCCCCCUUCAGACCUGGUAGCGACAUCGUUCCUGUGAGAUCUGGUUACAUACAAACGGCACAAAACACUUCACUCCUGGCCUUAAACUAGUCCUGUGUGACUCAUGAGAGAGGGGAUUUUUGCAUCAUAUAUCAUUUGCAUUAUAUGAUUAGAUGUGGGCGCGGAUUAGCUGCGUUCAGACCUGUAUUUGGCACCGUCUGCAUGUGAUCGAAAUUCAGCAUUGAAUUGGGCUGAGUCCGAUGUUCUGACAUGUGAUGAUCAUUUGCAUCGUAAUGUUCAUCUGAAAGAGUGAUGGAAGCUGUUUGUGAUGAAUGAUGAAAGAAUGAAUGCUCAGCGGGCUGGGUCUCUAAAUUCUCCAAGUCAGGUGUCACCUGUUGAAGCAUAGGUGUCUCACUCAGAAGAGCAAUAUCAGGGGAUAUUAACUACUGACACUAAAAGGGUUUAAUCUUUGCAUUUGCAGAUGAGAAGUGUGUUUCCUUAAUCUGACCCAAAAUGCUAUGGUUGAUUAAACCUUUUUUGCACCAAUUUUAGACUAGAUUGAUCAGACAAUGUUGGGUUGUGCUCAUUUCUGACCAAAGAACUUAAGGACAGAGGAAUGGUGUGUAGUGACAGCACAGAUUCUGGUUUGUACUGAUUUCAUUUUAAAUCUGUAAAUAGUCAAAUUUUAUUUUUUCAUGCUGACUAUGACCACUGCAGUAUGAAAAGAGCCGAUGCCACAGCUCUUCAAAAGGAUUGUGUGAUUUGUACAUGAUGGUUGUUGCUUUCAAAGUGUUAAUUUACAAUAAAUUAAAAUAUUCACACAUUUAAA
Solea senegalensis (Senegalese sole) is the source of this 1414-nucleotide long non-coding RNA. RefSeq lists it as uncharacterized. The transcript has 3 exons. NCBI's taxonomy places the organism in Eukaryota, Metazoa, Chordata, Actinopteri, Pleuronectiformes, Soleidae. The record is from RefSeq and is a predicted model, not a curated record.